UUGGUAACGUAGCUAACGCGUGAAGUUGACCGCCUGGGGAGUACGGUCGCAAGAUUAAAACUCAAAGGAAUUGACGGGGACCCGCACAAGCGGUGGAUGAUGUGGAUUAAUUCGAUGCAACGCGAAAAACCUUACCUACCCUUGACAUGUCAGGAAUCCCCUAGAGAUAGGGGGGUGCUUGAGAGAGAACCUGAGCACAGGUGCUGCAUGGCUGUCGUCAGCUCGUGUCGUGAGAUGUUGGGUUAAGUCCCGCAACGAGCGCAACCCUUGUCAUUAGUUGCUACGCAAGAGCACUCUAAUGAGACUGCCGGUGACAAACCGGAGGAAGGUGGGGAUGACGUCAAGUCCUCAUGGCCCUUAUGGGUAGGGCUUCACACGUCAUACAAUGGUGCAUACAGAGGGUUGCCAACCCGCGAGGGGGAGCUAAUCCCGCAAAGUGCAUCGUAGUCCGGAUUGCAGUCUGCAACUCGACUGCAUGAAGUCGGAAUCGCUAGUAAUCGCGGAUCAGCAUGUCGCGGUGAAUACGUUCCCGGGUCUUGUACACACCGCCCGUCACACCAUGGGAGUGGGUUUUACCAGAAGCAGGUAGCCUAACCGUAAGGAGGGCGCCUACCACGGUAGGAUUCAUGACUGGGGUGAAGUCGUAACAAGGUAGCCGUA
This 660-nucleotide ribosomal RNA is filed under the name uncultured Pseudomonadota bacterium. Its description in RNAcentral is "bacterial SSU rRNA". It matches the Rfam family "Bacterial small subunit ribosomal RNA", at positions 840 to 1504 of the family's 1533-position model. The record is from RNAcentral. Lineage: Bacteria; Pseudomonadati; Pseudomonadota.